GUGUUCACAUUGGCAGCACAUGCACUGAAACUGGAAUGAUGCAGAGAUUAGCAUGGCCCCAGUGCAAGAAUGACAGGCAGAUUUGUGAAAUGUUCCUUUUAUUU
Molecule: small nuclear RNA, 104 nt
Organism: Molossus molossus (Pallas's mastiff bat)
Lineage: Eukaryota; Metazoa; Chordata; Mammalia; Chiroptera; Molossidae
Source: RefSeq, a predicted model, not a curated record